AACCAUUUUUCAAAAUGGCGUUAGACUUUGAAGCAGCUUUGAAAAGAAGAGGAUGGUUAUUGACACAUGAAGGAAUUGAAGAAUGUUGUGAAAAUCAGCAGAAUGUAUCUGUUGAUGUCAUAAUCCAAAAAGCACUUAAUUUGGAUUUACGAGAUAUUGGUGCAAAGUGCCUACCUGAUGACAUAGGAAAAGGAAAAGUUGAUGUGGUG
This is a long non-coding RNA of Limulus polyphemus (Atlantic horseshoe crab), 209 nucleotides long. RefSeq lists it as uncharacterized. The record is from RefSeq and is a predicted model, not a curated record. The transcript has 3 exons. NCBI's taxonomy places the organism in Eukaryota, Metazoa, Arthropoda, Merostomata, Xiphosura, Limulidae.